This 276-nucleotide ribosomal RNA is filed under the name Triticum aestivum (bread wheat). RNAcentral's name for it is "partial small subunit ribosomal RNA". The record is from RNAcentral. Lineage: Eukaryota; Viridiplantae; Streptophyta; Magnoliopsida; Poales; Poaceae.
AUGUCGUGGUCUUCUGGUGGUUCGAGUGCUCCCAGCUUCCGUCGAGCCACCGGAAGGAGAGGGGAGGAAUCUAGGUCGCCGGUGCCGUACCGCGAGGCCCCGAUGGCGUACGAGCCAGCGAGGCUCUGCUGGUGCAACCCCCAUCGGAAGGCGCCUAGGUGGAUCUCCUGGAGCCGUCAGAAUCCAGGCAGGAGAUACUACGCCUGUGUUGAUGCGAUGGUGAGCUUCAAGUUGCUGUUUUUUUGUUCUGUUCAUUUGUCCCCCCCCCCUCAUUGA